RNAcentral lists this ribosomal RNA (776 nucleotides) under uncultured bacterium. RNAcentral describes it as "bacterial SSU rRNA". It matches the Rfam family "Bacterial small subunit ribosomal RNA", at positions 8 to 796 of the family's 1533-position model. The record is from RNAcentral.
AGAGUUUGAUCAUGGCUCAGGAUGAACGCUAGCGGCAGGCCUAAUACAUGCAAGUCGAACGGCUCGCAAGAGCAGUGGCGCACGGGUGCGUAACGCGUAUGCAACUUACCCAUGAAUGGGGCAUAGCCCGGGGAAACCCGGAUUAAUACCGCAUAAGCUAAGUGAAUGGCAUCAUUUACUUAGGAAACAUUUAUGGUUCAUGGAUGGGCAUGCGUUAGAUUAGCUAGUUGGUAGUGUAACGGACUACCAAGGCGAUGAUCUAUAGGGGUUCUGAGAGGAAGAUCCCCCACACUGGUACUGAGAUACGGACCAGACUCCUACGGGAGGCAGCAGUAGGGAAUAUUGGGCAAUGGAGGCAACUCUGACCCAGCCAUGCCGCGUGCAGGAAGAAGGCCUUCUGGGUUGUAAACUGCUUUUGGAAGGGAACAAAACGGGCGUGCGCGCCAACUUGAGGGUACCUUCAGAAUAAGCACCGGCUAACUCCGUGCCAGCAGCCGCGGUAAUACGGAGGGUGCAAGCGUUGUCCGGAUUUAUUGGGUUUAAAGGGUGCGUAGGCGGCCAUGUAAGUCAGGGGUGAAAGACUGCAGCUUAACUGUAGCAGUGCCUUUGAUACUGUGUGGCUUGAGUGUAGCUGAGGCAGAUGGAAUGGGUGGUGUAGCGGUGAAAUGCAUAGAUACCAUCCAGAACACCGAUUGCGAAGGCAGUCUGCUAAACUACAACUGACGCUGAGGCACGAAAGCGUGGGGAUCGAACAGGAUUAGAUACCCUAGUAGUCC